RNAcentral lists this ribosomal RNA (512 nucleotides) under uncultured bacterium. RNAcentral's name for it is "bacterial SSU rRNA". It matches the Rfam family "Bacterial small subunit ribosomal RNA", at positions 34 to 518 of the family's 1533-position model. The record is from RNAcentral.
CGCUGGCGGCGUGCCUAAUACAUGCAAGUCGAACGGUCUUUCUAUGGAAGCUUGCUUCCACUGAGAAGAUAGUGGCGAACGGGUGAGUAACAACGUGGGUAACCUGCCCAUAAGAGGGGGAUAACAUCCGGAAACGGGUGCUAAUACCGCAUAGUUUUCUUGAUCGCAUGAUCGGGAAAGGAAAGACGGCCUUUGUGCUGUCGCUUAUGGAUGGGCCCGCGGCGUAUUAGUUAGUUGGUGAGGUAACGGCUCACCAAGACGAUGAUACGUAGCCGACCUGAGAGGGUGAUCGGCCACAUUGGGACUGAGACACGGCCCAAACUCCUACGGGAGGCAGCAGUAGGGAAUCUUCCGCAAUGGACGAAAGUCUGACGGAGCAACGCCGCGUGAGUGAAAGAAGGUUUUCGGAUCGUAAAACUCUGUUGUCAGAGAAGAACAAGUUGGAGAGUAACUGCUCCAGCCUUGACGGUAUCUGACCAGAAAGCCACGGCUAACUACGUGCCAGCCGCCGC